This is a long non-coding RNA of Solanum tuberosum (potato), 65 nucleotides long. RefSeq lists it as uncharacterized. The record is from RefSeq and is a predicted model, not a curated record. The transcript has 3 exons. NCBI's taxonomy places the organism in Eukaryota, Viridiplantae, Streptophyta, Magnoliopsida, Solanales, Solanaceae.
AAGUUUGACAUUUAGUUGUAUUGACAUAUGGCUUCAAAUGUACAUCAGAAAUUGAAAUAGACUAG